ACGAACGCUGGCGGCGCGCCUCACACAUGCAAGUCGAACGAGCGAGAGAGAGCUUGCUUUCUCGAGCGAGUGGCGAACGGGUGAGUAACGCGUGAGGAACCUGCCUCAAAGAGGGGGACAACAGUUGGAAACGACUGCUAAUACCGCAUAAGCCCACGGCUCGGCAUCGAGCAGGGGGAAAAGGAGCAAUCCGCUUUGAGAUGGCCUCGCGUCCGAUUAGCUAGUUGGUGGGGUAACGGCCCACCAAGGCGACGAUCGGUAGCCGGACUGAGAGGUUGAACGGCCACAGUGGGACUGAGACACGGCCCAGACUCCUACGGGAGGCAGCAGUGGGGAAUAUUGCACAAUGGGGGAAACCCUGAUGCAGCGACGCCGCGUGGAGGAAGAAGGUCUUCGGAUUGUAAACUCCUGUUGUUGGGGAAGAUAAUGACGGUACCCAACAAGGAAGUGACGGCUAACUACGUG
RNAcentral lists this ribosomal RNA (465 nucleotides) under uncultured bacterium. RNAcentral describes it as "partial 16S ribosomal RNA". It matches the Rfam family "Bacterial small subunit ribosomal RNA", at positions 29 to 507 of the family's 1533-position model. The record is from RNAcentral.